This is a small nucleolar RNA of Prunus persica (peach), 95 nucleotides long. It matches the Rfam family "Small nucleolar RNA R32/R81/Z41". From Rfam's summary of the family: This family contains the related snoRNAs R32, R81 and Z41 which are members of the C/D class of snoRNA containing the C (UGAUGA) and D (CUGA) box motifs. Most of the members of the box C/D family function in directing site-specific 2'-O-methylation of substrate RNAs. NCBI's taxonomy places the organism in Eukaryota, Viridiplantae, Streptophyta, Magnoliopsida, Rosales, Rosaceae. The record is from Rfam.
UGAUGAAAAUGAUGAAAGAGAUGUGUAAGGGUGAUGAUCAUUCGAUUUCACGUGAUCAAACAAAUUCUCUUCGCUACGUUCUUUCUGAUUCUUAA